RNAcentral lists this ribosomal RNA (253 nucleotides) under uncultured bacterium. RNAcentral describes it as "partial 16S ribosomal RNA". It matches the Rfam family "Bacterial small subunit ribosomal RNA", at positions 524 to 776 of the family's 1533-position model. The record is from RNAcentral.
UACGGGGGGGGUAAGCGUUGUUCGGAAUUACUGGGCGUAAAGGGCUCGUAGGCGGCCAACUAAGUCAGACGUGAAAUCCCUCAGCUUAACUGGGGAACUGCGUCUGAUACUGGAUGGCUUGGAUUCGGGAGAGGAAUGCGGAAUUCCAGGUGUAGCGGUGAAAUGCGUAGAUAUCUGGAGGAACACCGGCGGCGAAGGCGGCCAACUGGACGAAGACUGACGCUGAGGCACGAAAGCGUGGGGAGCAAACAGG